This 215-nucleotide unclassified non-coding RNA is filed under the name Hevea brasiliensis (rubber tree). The record is from RNAcentral. Lineage: Eukaryota; Viridiplantae; Streptophyta; Magnoliopsida; Malpighiales; Euphorbiaceae.
GAGUAUUAUUCUUGAUAUUCCAGAAGGUACCGAGCUUAUUUGACAUUGGUGGAAAUUUGAAAUUGGCCUCGUAAAGAACUUUUAUUUGCUUAAUCAUAAUUUCUAGAAACAAAGGUAAAGUCAACAACUCAAUUUAUUGACAAUCAGCUCACAUGCCUAAGCUUGACAUGCCUCUUAAUGUCUACUGAUGCUUAACUUUAUACUUGAACUGAGAA